RNAcentral lists this ribosomal RNA (262 nucleotides) under uncultured bacterium. Its description in RNAcentral is "partial 16S ribosomal RNA". It matches the Rfam family "Bacterial small subunit ribosomal RNA", at positions 55 to 339 of the family's 1533-position model. The record is from RNAcentral.
AUGCAGGUCGAACGUGAGUACUCUUUGGAGUAUGAAAGUGGCGAACGGGUGAGUAACACGUAAGAAUCUACCUUUAGGACGGGGAUAACUUCUGGAAACGGAUGCUAAUACCCGAUAUGCUGUGGAGUGAAAGAAUUUCGCCUAAAGAUGAUCUUGCGUCUGAUUAGCUAGAUAGGGUGGUAACGGCACACUAUGGCGACGAUCAGUAGCUGGUCUGAGAGGAUGGACAGCCACAUUGGAACUGAGACACGGUCCAAACUCC